CGGGGCUUAUCAGUGGCGUAUGAAAUGUUCCGGAGCAUAUCAACGGCAUAUGGAACAUUUCGGAGCAUAUCAAUAACAAAUACCAAACAGAAGCUCAAACGUCGUCUUUGACAUUGCAUUCAUAUCAUUCUUAUCCAAAGCAUGUACAUAAACACAUAACCAAAGCUCUGGAUUUCAUAUCAAACAUACAGAAGGUGUAGUGGGACCACUGACAGAAUGUGAUUCAUCCAUUUCUGAAUGACCACCAGACAGAAGUCUCCCACGUUUGGGAGCUCCAUCCACCCACGUCUAGGUGAAGUCAGAGGGGGCCGGCAGAGCAUCGCAGGCUCUAUGCAUAACUCCCUUUACCAUUUCUGGCAAAGGUUCAUAUUAUCCCACAACACCAGAGUACAAAAGGCAGUAUGAACAAUAAAUAACAUAUAUCAGAAGCACACGUGGAACAACAAAAUGUACAUGUGCCUUUAUGAGUCAAUACGAUGCAAGCAACAAUUUCUCACAAAUGUAUUCAGAUUGGAAUAAAAUGAAAGCAAAAGUAUAAACGGAUUCCAAGCAAUCAUAUAUAGCUCAAUUCAAAUAAGAAGGUUAGAUGAAUUCAAUAUCCAAAAGAAUGAAACUAGAAUAGGCACAUAUCGAAAGCAAAUGCGGAACAAUGGGAUAUACAUGUGCCUAUAUGUGUCAAUGCGAUAUAGCUUGAAAGUUACACAAAAUGUUUCAAGAAUGUAAAUAAUUUAUAGACAAGAUCAAACUAGAAUUCAAGCACCAACAUAAGUCUCAAUUGAGUGAAGGGGACUGAAUGGAAUCUAUUUCCAAACAAAUGAAACAGAAUGCGCGAAAUCGACCAAAGCUCGAUUUCUGACAGAAUUCAAGAGGCACAUUGAACAAAUACUUCAGAUUAUCAAUUAUGCUCCAAUACCCUUAGGAAAGCUACUUUUGAAAGAUAUAUCAAUCUAUUUUCUGUUGAAAUAAGUUUCGUAUGAAUCAUGGUUUCCAACAAGGAGUUACAUUUGAUUUGGUAAAACAAGGUCAAAAACAAAAUCACUGUUUUGCAGAAUUCAUAGGGUCGGAUUCAACAGAUAAUAGGAUAGGCAUUUGAACUCCAAAUUUUUCAAUCAAUAUGUCAAAAGAAAGGUCUACAAGUCUACUUUCGGACGAAGUCAGUUUGGUACAAAUCAGAAUUUCCAACAGGGACUUAUAGGUAUU
This 1200-nucleotide long non-coding RNA is filed under the name Musa acuminata (dwarf banana). Its description in RNAcentral is "long non-coding RNA (MACU_LNC009790)". The record is from RNAcentral. Lineage: Eukaryota; Viridiplantae; Streptophyta; Magnoliopsida; Zingiberales; Musaceae.